RNAcentral lists this unclassified non-coding RNA (392 nucleotides) under soil metagenome. Its description in RNAcentral is "partial contains 5.8S ribosomal RNA, internal transcribed spacer 2, and large subunit ribosomal RNA". The stretch from base 1 to 122 matches the Rfam family "5.8S ribosomal RNA", at positions 35 to 154 of the family's 154-position model. The record is from RNAcentral.
GAUGAAGAACGCAGCGAAAUGCGAUACUUGGUGUGAAUUGCAGAAUCCCGUGAACCAUCGAGUCUUUGAACGCAAGUUGCGCCCGAAGCCACUAGGCCGAGGGCACGCCUGCCUGGGCGUCACACGUCGUUGCCCCCCCCCCAUCUACUCCUUCGGGAUUGCGGGGGGCGGAUGAUGGCCUCCCGUGCGCCUAGCCGCGCGGUUGGCAUAAAUACCAAGUCCUCGGCGACGCACGCCACGACAAUCGGUGGUUGCGAAACCUCGGUUGCCCGUCGUGUGCGUUCGUCGCGCAUCGAGGGCUCGAAAAAAUGCUCGGCUCCGGCUCGGCUUUCAACGCGACCCCAGGUCAGGCGGGGUUACCCGCUGAAUUUAAGCAUAUCAAUAAGCGAGGA